Molecule: unclassified non-coding RNA, 300 nt
Filed under: Glomeraceae sp.
Lineage: Eukaryota; Fungi; Glomeromycota; Glomeromycetes; Glomerales; Glomeraceae
Description: partial contains 5.8S ribosomal RNA and internal transcribed spacer 2
Rfam family: 5.8S ribosomal RNA (bases 1-71)
Source: RNAcentral
GUGAAUCAUCGAAUUUUUGAACGCAUAUUGCACUCUCUGGUAUUCCGGAGAGUAUGCCUGUUUGAGGGUCAGUAAUAAUAAAAUCGGGGUGUUGCUUUCUUUGUGACGCACCGGAGAUUGGGCUACCUUUAACUUUCGGGUUUAAGAUGCUUAAAAUUGAACUUUUUUGCGCACUUUUAGACGUACAUAAAUUUAUUUUAUCGUUUAUUUUGGUUCCAAUUAUCUAUUAGGUGCUAUCAUGUUAUAUGAUCUCUUGCCUAUAAUUUCUCAUCUUUUUACCUCAAAUCAGUUAAGGCCACC